RNAcentral lists this ribosomal RNA (492 nucleotides) under uncultured bacterium. RNAcentral's name for it is "partial 16S ribosomal RNA". It matches the Rfam family "Bacterial small subunit ribosomal RNA", at positions 29 to 507 of the family's 1533-position model. The record is from RNAcentral.
AGCGAACGCUGGCGGUAGGCCUAACACAUGCAAGUCGAACGGCAGCACAGUAAGAGCUUGCUCUUACGGGUGGCGAGUGGCGGACGGGUGAGGAAUACAUCGGAAUCUACUUUUUCGUGGGGGAUAACGUAGGGAAACUUACGCUAAUACCGCAUACGACCUACGGGUGAAAGCAGGGGAUCUUCGGACCUUGCGCGAUUGAAUGAGCCGAUGUCGGAUUAGCUAGUUGGCGGGGUAAAGGCCCACCAAGGCGACGAUCCGUAGCUGGUCUGAGAGGAUGAUCAGCCACACUGGGACUGAGACACGGUCCAGACUCCUACGGGAGGCAGCAGUGGGGAAUAUUGGACAAUGGGCGCAAGCCUGAUCCAGCCAUACCGCGUGGGUGAAGAAGGCCUUCGGGUUGUAAAGCCCUUUUGUUGGGAAAGAAAAGCAGCAGGUUAAUACCCCGCUGUUCUGACGGUACCCAAAGAAUAAGCACCGGCUAACUUCGUG